This 248-nucleotide ribosomal RNA is filed under the name uncultured Fusobacterium sp. Its description in RNAcentral is "partial 16S ribosomal RNA". It matches the Rfam family "Bacterial small subunit ribosomal RNA", at positions 109 to 356 of the family's 1533-position model. The record is from RNAcentral. Lineage: Bacteria; Fusobacteriati; Fusobacteriota; Fusobacteriia; Fusobacteriales; Fusobacteriaceae.
AGUAACGCGUAAAGAACUUGCCUCAUAGUCUGGGACAACAUUUGGAAACGGAUGCUAAUACCGGAUAUUAUGCUUUCUUCGCAUGGAGGAAGUAUGAAAGCUAUAUGCGCUAUGAGAGAGCUUUGCGUCCCAUUAGCUAGUUGGUGAGGUAACGGCCCACCAAGGCGAUGAUGGGUAGCCGGCCUGAGAGGGUGAACGGCCACAAGGGGACUGAGAUACGGCCCAGACUCCUACGGGAGGCAGCAGCG